GACGAACGCUGGCGGCGUGCCUAAUACAUGCAAGUAGAACGCACAGUCUAUACCGUAGCUUGCUACACCAUAGACUGUGAGAUGCGAACGGGUGAGUAACGCGUAGGUAACCUGCCUGGUAGCGGGGGAUCACUAUUGGGAACGUUAGCUAAUACCGCAUAAUAUUAAUUAUUGCAUGAUAAUUAAUUGAAAGGUGUAAUUGCACCACUACCAGAUGGACCUGCGUUGUAUUAGCUAGUAGGUGAGGUAACGGCUCACCUAGGCGGGGAGACAUAGCCGACCUGAGAGGGUGGUCGGCCACACUGGGACUGAGUGACGGCCCAGACACCUACGUGAGGCAGCAGUAGGGAGUCUUCGGUAAUGGACGGAAGUCUGACCGAUCAACGCCGCGCGAGUGAAGAAUGUUUUCGGAUCGUAAAGCACUGUUGUACGAGAAGAACGGGUGUGAGAGUGGAAAGUUCACACUUUGACGGUAGCUUAACAGAAAGGGACGGCUAACUACGUG
RNAcentral lists this ribosomal RNA (505 nucleotides) under uncultured bacterium. RNAcentral describes it as "partial 16S ribosomal RNA". It matches the Rfam family "Bacterial small subunit ribosomal RNA", at positions 28 to 507 of the family's 1533-position model. The record is from RNAcentral.